This 238-nucleotide long non-coding RNA is filed under the name Hordeum vulgare. Its description in RNAcentral is "long non-coding RNA (HVUL_LNC009148)". The record is from RNAcentral. Lineage: Eukaryota; Viridiplantae; Streptophyta; Magnoliopsida; Poales; Poaceae.
CGUCCUCCUUUCUGGAUGGCAACCUGGGCAGGGCUUCGAAUUCUUCAGAACUUAAUUUACUAGGGAAAAAACCAUGUACUAUGUGAUUUAGCUAGCAUGAAAUCACGCCUAUGGUUGAUUCUUCUUCACGUGAAAACCGAACCAUGUACUUGAGAUCGUACCAGACAUUGUAUUCUUAUUAAGUCACAUCCAUCAAUCAUAGUAUGCUGUCUGAAAGCUAGGACCUCCUGGUUUUGGC